Molecule: ribosomal RNA, 302 nt
Filed under: Halobacillus dabanensis
Lineage: Bacteria; Bacillati; Bacillota; Bacilli; Caryophanales; Bacillaceae
Description: 16S rRNA. Bacterial SSU
Rfam family: Bacterial small subunit ribosomal RNA
Source: RNAcentral
CUUUUAUGGAGAGUUUGAUCCUGGCUCAGGACGAACGCUGGCGGCGUGCCUAAUACAUGCAAGUCGAGCGCGGGAAGCGAGUGGAUCCUCAUCUGAGGUGAAGCUCGUGGAACGAGCGGCGGACGGGUGAGUAACACGUGGGCAACCUGCCUGUAAGACCGGAAUAACCCCGGGAAACCGGGGCUAAUGCCGGGUAAUACUUUUCUUCGCAUGAAGGAAAGUUGAAAGAUGGCUUCUUGCUAUCACUUACAGAUGGGCCCGCGGCGCAUUAGCUAGUUGGUGAGGUAACGGCUCACCAAGGC